CCUACGGGACGCAGCAGUGGGGAAUAUUGCACAAUGGGGGAAACCCUGAUGCAGCGACGCCGCGUGAGUGAGGAAGUAUUUCGGUAUGUAAAGCUCUAUCAGCAGGGAAGAAAAUGACGGUACCUGACUAAGAAGCCCCGGCUAACUACGUGCCAGCAGCCGCGGUAAUACGUAGGGGGCAAGCGUUAUCCGGAUUUACUGGGUGUAAAGGGAGCGUAGACGGAAUAGCAAGUCUGAUGUGAAAACCCGGGGCUCAACUCCGGGAGUGCAUUGGAAACUGUUGAUCUAGAGUGUCGGAGAGGCAA
This 305-nucleotide ribosomal RNA is filed under the name uncultured bacterium. RNAcentral describes it as "bacterial SSU rRNA". It matches the Rfam family "Bacterial small subunit ribosomal RNA", at positions 338 to 660 of the family's 1533-position model. The record is from RNAcentral.